This is a non-coding RNA of Marmota monax (woodchuck), 73 nucleotides long. Lineage: Eukaryota; Metazoa; Chordata; Mammalia; Rodentia; Sciuridae. The record is from the annotation of a RefSeq genome assembly.
UGGGGUUGUAGCUCAGUGGUAGAGCGCUUGCCUGGCAUGCAUGAGGCCCUGAGUUCAAUCCUCAGCACCACAU